UCGUGGCCCCUCCCUCUCCUGCAGGGCGAAUGACCCAGCUACAUUAACCUCUGCCGGAGACAAAGCGCUCUGCGUGGACGGACGACGUCAUCAGCUCACAGGCUCAUCAGACACGACUGUUUGCUGAGAUACAAACGCACGGCCGGAUUCCCCCGUCCUGCAGAUACAUAAAUGCUUUAGAAGAUGUGUGUGCUCCUUUUGUCUUUCUGUAUUAUUAAGAUUGGUUUAUUCUACUUAGGUGCAGCCAUACAAAGAACAUGAUACAAUACAAAAUGUUACGACUGGAACAUUGACGCCACCUGAGUGACUCAGAGCGCUGGCUAAUAGUUCAAACCAGUCCCAUCACAUACCAAGACUGCCACUUACUGCCAGCCUGAUAGGCAGUCUGAAAAUAGCCCGUGUGUGUGUGUGUGUGUGUGUGUGUGUGUGUGUGUGUGUGUGUGUGUGUGUGUGUGUGUGUGUGUGUGUGUGAGACUCAACAAACAUGUUUUCACUGUGUGGUUACAGUCUGCUGCAGAUGAAGGGGAAGAGACUCAAACAGGGCUCCCAUGGCCCCUCCAUCUUUGCCUGCUGAUACAGAGAACACUGGUGGUUCCCCAAACUGGGGGACGCGACCCUUAGGGGGGUCACGGUAGGCUAAACAAGGGGGGCAGUGUGCUUAUAUGCUCAAGGGGGCCACGACAGAAGAAGUUUGGAUACCACUGCUCUCCACUUUGACACUACGACACAUGCUGGUCACAUGGUGAACAUGUGACACCUAACAAAUAUUACUUUGGUAUAAUUCCACGUGACAGUUUAAACACACGUGCGCUAACGAGGUAACGUUUUGACGUCCCGCGUUAAAGUGCCCCUCUAGACGGUGACCUCAUGCCCUCUGACAGUAAUUUGUCUUCAUGAGGAUCAACAAGGUUGGUGUUACCAUGGAGUUUGAAUCUGGAACAUUUUCAUUGGUAAACACUGACCGACCCAACAACCUGCUAGUAAAUAAACUCUACACUUUGUGGUUGAGCACAUGCAAACACACACAACCACAUAAACAAGCCCAUGCAUGCACAAACACACACAUGCACACACACAUAAUAUAUCAGUUAGCUUUGGGGAACUUGUGAGGGAUUAUCAACAUCAAAGUCAAUAGAAAUGUCAGCCUGGCUAUCUUUGGAAAUGCCAGCAACCCUUUGCAUAUCCGUAACACACAACCAACACACACACACACACACACACACACCUGCCCCUAGCAGAGGAGCUGAUUAAAGCUGCUCUGGUGAGUGUGGCUUUUGAUCUCCAAACAUACUGGAAAGCACUUAAAGGCAAAGCUAAGCAGCAGAAACAGAUGACAUCACAACACCUCGGGGCCCCUUCCUGCAGCUCCAUCAACCAGAUUAACUGGAUUAGACACUCGGGCUGCAUGUAUUAAUAAUAUUGAGAGGUUCUCAGGUGAUCUGAAUGAGAUGCAUGGACUAUUGGUCUGUGUAACUCUGCUACCAAAAUAUAACAUUCACAAUACCCUUUGUGGUAUUACUUCUUUAAAGCAUCCAACGUUGUAAUACAUUUGGUUACUGAGACCGAAAGUACUUGCAUGUCAGUCGGCAGAUAAUGUUUCUGCAAACUUCAGAAACCAAAAUAUGUUUCUUAAAUAAGUUUCUGCCUCAUAUCAUGCUGACAGAUGUGCAUGAAGUGAAAUAAGUUUAUGGUUUAAGGAGCAAACUCCCAUGGAUAUAGUUAGAAAAAAUGUCACGGCUUGAGUUAAAAUGAUAAAAAGUCAUUUAACAACCCUAUUUACAUAACCAGUAUGAAUAUAUAACAAUAGUAGCCUAAAGUUAGUAACAACAUGAUUGUACAUCAAAGGCUGUGUUUGUGUGACCCGUCUAGCUACGUCAUUUGUUUUGUACAUCGGCCAUUUUAUUUGCGGUUUGCAGAAAUGUAUGAAAUUAUUUUUGAUUAACUGAGCCGCAUCGAUAUCUACAGGCUGAGGAAUUCAGUUUCAUUAUUUAUGGUUUAUACACCUGUGAAGAUUGUGAACACUUUGAGAUACCUUCCUCUGUGCGCCGUAGCACGUGUACCGUAUAUUGAAGACAAAUCAGCAAAUUGACAUGCACACGUUUCUGUUAACCUGUUAACCCCUUGACCUCCAGCAGCUGGAGUAGCUUUUACCUGUAAAUAAUGAACAUCAUUCUAUUUUCAAUUUCAUUCUUUCGUUUGCCUUUUGCUUCGUUUUACUUUUUCAGACUUUCACGACAAAGUCUCCUGUUCAGGCUACGAGUGAAUAUGAAACACUAAUUACCAAAUCAACGCUUUUCCCCGUCACUGAAUAUUGAUGACCUUUGACCUUUCCGCUGCACCGUUGAAAUAAACCUACUUCUGUGUUGGUGUUUGAAGUGCAGUGGGAGGAGGACAAUGACUCCGGUGUAAACGGAUCGAUGGCCUCCUCCCUGUUUACUACACAGUGAGGAGGAAGCGCUGUCGACCUCUGACCCCGGUCACUCAUCUCUAUCCACACACGGGUAACCGGAGACUGCAGAACCGCACCUCCCUCUGCACAUCCCCCCGCGCCUCCUGCCGCCCCUUCCUGAGCUGAGAGGAAACAGGCAGAAUGGAUGACUUACGCCUCAGGAAUCACAACACAUGGGGCCUCACAGGACAUUUUAACUAUUUGUGUUUACAUCCAAAAUGUAAGUGGUAACACUACGACGCACAAAAUGACUUGUUAUAAGAUUAUUUAUAAUUUAUCUCAUUUGUUCAAAUAGUAACUCAUUGUAAUUGCAUGCAUGUACCAUAUAGUACAACUUUUUUCAUUGUUGGUUGUAAAUAGAUUGCACAUUCAAAUGUGUCACAGAGACACACACACACCAAAGCAACAUUACCGAUGAUUCCUGCAUCAUUUUAUCAAUGUACAACAAUUCAGCUUUUUUCCUGGAGUUUUUUGUGCUUUCUCACCUCGCAGGUCUCCGUAGACCCUAGUUCACUCUGGAACUAUUACUGUCAUCAUAGACCCACAUUUCCCUCUCCUAAAGUCUGUGUGCUCUCCCUCCCCACAGGCUUCUGUGGGUGGUGGUGCUAUCUGAUGGUGGUUCAGUGUGAUGAUGGUUCUAUCUGAUGGUGGUUCUAUCUGAUGGUGGUUCUAUCUGAUGGUGGUUCUGUCUGACAGUGGUUCUAUCUGAUGGUGGUUCAGUGUGAUGAUGGUUCUAUCUGAUGGUGGUUCUAUCUGACAGUGGUUCUAUCUGAUGGUGGUUCUAUCUGACAGUGGUUCUAUCUGAUGGUGGUUCAGUGUGAUGAUGGUUCUAUCUGAUGGUGGUUCUAUCUGACAGUGGUUCUAUCUGAUGGUGGUUCUAUCUGACAGUGGUUCUAUCUGAUGGUGGGUCAGUGUGAUGUUGUUUCUAUCUGACGGUGGUUCUAUCUGACGGUGGUUCUAUCUGAUGGUGGUUCAGUGUGAUGAUAGUUCUAUCUGAUGGUGGAGAUUCUAUCUGAUGAUGGUUCUAUCUGAUGGUGGAGGUUCUAUCUGAUGGUGGUUCUAUCUGACAGUGGUUCUAUCUGAUGGUGGUUCAGUGUGAUGAUAGUUCUAUCUGAUGGUGGAGAUUCUAUCUGAUGAUGGUUCUAUCUGAUGGUGGUUCUAUCUGAUGGUGGUUCUAUCUGAUGGUGGAGGUUCUAUCUGAUGGUGGAGGUUCCUGCAGUGG
Long non-coding RNA from Gasterosteus aculeatus aculeatus (three-spined stickleback), 3671 nucleotides. The record is from Ensembl. Lineage: Eukaryota; Metazoa; Chordata; Actinopteri; Perciformes; Gasterosteidae.